Molecule: ribosomal RNA, 497 nt
Filed under: uncultured bacterium
Lineage: Bacteria
Description: partial 16S ribosomal RNA
Rfam family: Bacterial small subunit ribosomal RNA
Source: RNAcentral
GACGAACGCUGGCGGCGUGCCUAAUACAUGCAAGUAGAACGCUGAAGAGAGGAGCUUGCUCUUCUUGGAUGAGUUGCGAACGGGUGAGUAACGCGUAGGUAACCUGCCUUGUAGCGGGGGAUAACUAUUGGAAACGAUAGCUAAUACCGCAUAACAAUGGAUGACACAUGUCAUUUAUUUGAAAGGGGCAAUUGCUCCACUACAAGAUGGACCUGCGUUGUAUUAGCUAGUAGGUGAGGUAACGGCUCACCUAGGCGACGAUACAUAGCCGACCUGAGAGGGUGAUCGGCCACACUGGGACUGAGACACGGCCCAGACUCCUACGGGAGGCAGCAGUAGGGAAUCUUCGGCAAUGGGGGCAACCCUGACCGAGCAACGCCGCGUGAGUGAAGAAGGUUUUCGGAUCGUAAAGCUCUGUUGUAAGUCUAGAACGAGUGUGAGAGUGGAAAGUUCACACUGUGACGGUAGCUUACCAGAAAGGGACGGCUAACUACGUG